This 429-nucleotide ribosomal RNA is filed under the name Gemmatimonadota bacterium. RNAcentral describes it as "Gemmatimonadetes bacterium partial 16S ribosomal RNA". It matches the Rfam family "Bacterial small subunit ribosomal RNA", at positions 355 to 776 of the family's 1533-position model. The record is from RNAcentral. Lineage: Bacteria; Pseudomonadati; Gemmatimonadota.
UAGGGAAUCUUCGGCAAUGGACGAAAGUCUGACCGAGCAACGCCGCGUGAGUGAAGAAGGUUUUCGGAUCGUAAAACUCUGUUGUUAGAGAAGAACAAGGACGUUAGUAACUGAACGUCCCCUGACGGUAUCUAACCAGAAAGCCACGGCUAACUACGUGCCAGCAGCCGCGGUAAUACGUAGGUGGCAAGCGUUGUCCGGAGUUAUUGGGCGUAAAGCGAGCGCAGGCGGUUUCUUAAGUCUGAUGUGAAAGCCCCCGGCUCAACCGGGGAGGGGCAUUGGAAACUGGGAGACUUGAGUGCAGAAGAGGAGAGUGGAAUUCCAUGUGUAGCGGUGAAAUGCGUAGAUAUAUGGAGGAACACCAGUGGCGAAGGCGGCUCUCUGGUCUGUAACUGACGCUGAGGCUCGAAAGCGUGGGGAGCAAACAGG